UACGGGGGGGCAAGCGUUGCUCGGAAUUACUGGGCGUAAAGGGCUCGUAGGUGGCCAACUAAGUCAGACGUGAAAUCCCUCGGCUUAACCGGGGAACUGCGUCUGAUACUGGAUGGCUUGAGUUCGGGAGAGGGAUGCGGAAUUCCAGGUGUAGCGGUGAAAUGCGUAGAUAUCUGGAGGAAUACCGGUGGCGAAGGCGGCAUCCUGGACCGGCAUUGACGCUGAUGCGCGACAGCGUGGGGAGCAAACAGG
This 252-nucleotide ribosomal RNA is filed under the name uncultured bacterium. RNAcentral describes it as "partial 16S ribosomal RNA". It matches the Rfam family "Bacterial small subunit ribosomal RNA", at positions 524 to 776 of the family's 1533-position model. The record is from RNAcentral.